UGUGAAGAGACCCCAUAGGACAGAUGUGUU
Molecule: non-coding RNA, 30 nt
Filed under: Homo sapiens (human)
Lineage: Eukaryota; Metazoa; Chordata; Mammalia; Primates; Hominidae
Source: RNAcentral